RNAcentral lists this ribosomal RNA (497 nucleotides) under uncultured bacterium. RNAcentral describes it as "partial 16S ribosomal RNA". It matches the Rfam family "Bacterial small subunit ribosomal RNA", at positions 28 to 507 of the family's 1533-position model. The record is from RNAcentral.
GAUGAACGCUGGCGGCGUGCCUAAUACAUGCAAGUCGAACGAACAGACGAGGAGUUUGUUCCUCGGACGUUAGCCGCGGACGGGAGAGUAACAUGUGGAUAACCCACCUAUAAGACUGAGAUCACUUCGAGACACCGGCUCAUAUACCAGAUAAUAUAUUGAUGCAUAUGGUUCAAUGGUAAAAUACGGUUUUGCUGUCACUAAUAGAUGCAUCCGCGCCGCAUUAGCUAGUUGGUAAGGUAACGGCUUACCAAGGCAACGAUGCGUAGCCGACCUGGGAGGGUGAUCGGCCACCCUGGAGCGGAGACACGGUCAAUACGCCUACGGGAGGCAGCAGAAGGGAAUCUUCGGCAACGGGGGAGAGCUUGACGGAGCAAGGCCGCGUGAGUGAUGAAGAUCUUCGGAGCGUAAAAAUCGGUUAUUAGGGAAGAACAAAUUUGUAAUUAACUAUGCACGUCUUGACGGUACCUAAUCAGAAAGCAACGGCUAACUACGUG